CGUAGGUGGCAAGCGUUGUCCGGAAUUAUUGGGCGUAAAGCGCGCGCAAGCGGUUCCUUAAGUCUGAUGUGAAAGCCCCCGGCUCAACCGGGGAAGGUCAUUGGAAACUGGGGAACUUGAGUGCAGAAGAGAAGAGCGGAAUUCCACGUGUAGCGGUGAAAUGCGUAGAGAUGUGGAGGAACACCAGUGGCGAAGGCGGCUCUUUGGUCUGUAACUGACGCUGAGGCGCGAAAGCGUGGGGAGCAAACAGGAUUAGAUACCCUGGUAGUCCACGCCGUAAACGAUGAGUGCUAAGUGUUAGAGGGUUUCCGCCCUUUAGUGCUGCAGCUAACGCAUUAAGCACUCCGCCUGGGGAGUACGGCCGCAAGGCUG
RNAcentral lists this ribosomal RNA (372 nucleotides) under uncultured organism. RNAcentral describes it as "bacterial SSU rRNA". It matches the Rfam family "Bacterial small subunit ribosomal RNA", at positions 526 to 896 of the family's 1533-position model. The record is from RNAcentral.